GAUGAACGCUGGCGGCGUGCUUAACACAUGCAAGUCGAACGAAGCACUUUAUUUGAUUUCCUUCGGGACUGAUUAUUUUGUGACUGAGUGGCGGACGGGUGAGUAACGCGUGGGUAACCUGCCUUGUACAGGGGGAUAACAGUUGGAAACGGCUGCUAAUACCGCAUAAGCGCACAGCAUCGCAUGAUGCAGUGUGAAAAACUCCGGCGGUAUAAGAUGGACCCGCGUUGGAUUAGCUAGUUGGUGAGGUAACGGCCCACCAAGGCGACGAUCCAUAGCCGACCUGAGAGGGUGACCGGCCACAUUGGGACUGAGACACGGCCCAAACUCCUACGGGAGGCAGCAGUGGGGAAUAUUGCACAAUGGGCGAAAGCCUGAUGCAGCGACGCCGCGUGAGCGAAGAAGUAUUUCGGUAUGUAAAGCUCUAUCAGCAGGGAAGAUAAUGACGGUACCUGACUAAGAAGCACCGGCUAAAUACGUG
This 481-nucleotide ribosomal RNA is filed under the name uncultured bacterium. RNAcentral describes it as "partial 16S ribosomal RNA". It matches the Rfam family "Bacterial small subunit ribosomal RNA", at positions 28 to 507 of the family's 1533-position model. The record is from RNAcentral.